UUCCCCCAAAUUUUUGCCCUCUCACUCUUUCACUUAGGGAUUUCAUGAGCUCUCUCCUUCUCAUUCUCACUCUCUCUCACGAUACUCUCUCUUUCUCCCUUCACUCCUCUUCUCUCUUUCUCCCCUAACUCAUCUUCGAUCUAUCCAACAGACCCAUGUGCCACCGCCACCCACUGCAUAGCCACCUUCUGCCACCGAUGCUAGCCACCACCGCCACCGUCGACCUCCAAUCUUGCCGUUAGGUGUGGCUUUUGCUCUCCCUCUCACCUUCGGCUCUCCCUCACUCCAUCGCCAUGGCUCCUUCGAUUUGUACUUCGCAUGGCCUUCAGAUCCUUCGACUUACAUCACCGUCGUCGACCUCCAUCCACGCCGUUCAUCUGAUGCAUCUGAUAUGGUUUUGGGAUUGUAUACUUGUAUUGUUAACUUGGUGGUUUAAUAAUCCGAUAUAGCAGGUGCUGGUAAUUUGUCACUUUGAUGACCAUCCAAGCUACCAGACAAAUUUUCUUGAAGUUGCAGCUAGGAAGACCAAAAGCAAGGAAUUGAUACUGCUUUGAUUGCAAAAAAAAAAAAAAGGCAAUACAAGUUUGUGUGAUCAAAGCAAGUGAAUUUGUUUGUGUUAGACUUAAGGCCGAAGGUUUCAUUGGCACUUUUCUUCAAUUACAACACCUCAAUGGGACCGCCAUAUCGGGUUUUGGUAGAUACCAACUUCAUCAAUUUCUCUAUCUAGAAUAAACUGGACUUGGGGAAGGGAAUGAUGGACUGCCUCUAUGCAAAAUGUGAGUUUAGAAUCACUGGUUUCUUCAAUUUAAUGUGAAUAUUAAUUUGCUGCAAGAAUUGUUGUGCCGUGUCGAUGAGGUAUCCUAAGUUCAACAUAGUUAAUGUGGUUUUAUAACAAGCAUUGAGUGCCAUGUAUCAUUGGCAAACACUUAAAUAUUUGUUGGUUGCUUAAUGAUAUUUAUCAAAAUAUUACUCUUGGUUGUGUGGAUGUCCAUGAGAAUGCUUCAGGAAUAAAAUCAGGAUCUUUUUUUAAA
Quercus lobata is the source of this 1031-nucleotide long non-coding RNA. RefSeq lists it as uncharacterized. The record is from RefSeq and is a predicted model, not a curated record. The transcript is spliced from 5 exons. NCBI's taxonomy places the organism in Eukaryota, Viridiplantae, Streptophyta, Magnoliopsida, Fagales, Fagaceae.